AGGCUCUUACAACUUAUAUGGAACUCCUUGACUUGAAACCACUUCCUGUGACUGCACUUGCAAAUGGAACUUAUGAAGAAUUGUACAGAUACAUACAUUUUAACCCCAUACAGACGAAGGCUUUUGAUGUGCUAUAUCACACGGACCAAAAUGGGGAGAAAAGAAGA
Salvia splendens (bonfire salvia) is the source of this 167-nucleotide long non-coding RNA. RefSeq lists it as uncharacterized. The transcript has 2 exons. Lineage: Eukaryota; Viridiplantae; Streptophyta; Magnoliopsida; Lamiales; Lamiaceae. The record is from RefSeq and is a predicted model, not a curated record.